Molecule: transfer RNA, 74 nt
Filed under: Peniophora lycii
Lineage: Eukaryota; Fungi; Basidiomycota; Agaricomycetes; Russulales; Peniophoraceae
Description: tRNA-Val
Rfam family: tRNA
About the family: Transfer RNA (tRNA) molecules are approximately 80 nucleotides in length. Their secondary structure includes four short double-helical elements and three loops (D, anti-codon, and T loops). Further hydrogen bonds mediate the characteristic L-shaped molecular structure. tRNAs have two regions of fundamental functional importance: the anti-codon, which is responsible for specific mRNA codon recognition, and the 3' end, to which the tRNAs corresponding amino acid is attached (by aminoacyl-tRNA synthetases). tRNAs cope with the degeneracy of the genetic code in two manners: having more than one tRNA (with a specific anti-codon) for a particular amino acid; and 'wobble' base-pairing, i.e. permitting non-standard base-pairing at the 3rd anti-codon position.
Source: RNAcentral
GGGAGGUUGGACUGAGUGGUUAAGGCGGCAACUUUACACGUUGUUUUUCAGGGGUUCGAUUCCUCUACUUCCUA